Prionailurus viverrinus (fishing cat) is the source of this 2466-nucleotide RNA transcript. It is a transcript of the gene named cyclin L1, with no coding region annotated. Lineage: Eukaryota; Metazoa; Chordata; Mammalia; Carnivora; Felidae. The record is from RefSeq and is a predicted model, not a curated record. The transcript is spliced from 7 exons.
GUGACGUCAGGGCGGAAGCGCACGCUGCGUGAAGCGGCCCAGAAUCAGGCGGUCACGGGAAUAUCCGUCGCGCCGAGGACGCUGGUUAGUCUCGCUCCGGGUUCCGGCUGCGUUGGGCGUGCGUGCAGCUCGCUGAGACUAUGGCGUCCGGGCCUCACCCGACCGCGACCGCUGCCGCCGCCGCCUCGUCGGCCGCCCCGAGUGCGGGCGGCUCUAGCUCCGGGACGACGACCACGACGACGACUACGACGGGAGGGAUCCUGAUCGGCGACCGCCUGUACUCGGAAGUUUCGCUCACCAUCGACCACUCGCUGAUUCCGGAGGAGCGGCUCUCCCCUACCCCGUCUAUGCAGGACGGGCUCGACCUGCCCAGCGAGACCGACUUGCGCAUCCUGGGCUGCGAGCUCAUCCAAGCCGCCGGCAUUCUCCUCCGGUUGCCGCAGGUGGCGAUGGCAACGGGGCAGGUGUUGUUUCAUCGUUUUUUCUACUCCAAGUCUUUCGUCAAACACAGUUUCGAGAUUGUUGCCAUGGCUUGUAUUAAUCUUGCAUCAAAAAUUGAAGAAGCACCUAGAAGAAUAAGAGAUGUGAUUAAUGUAUUUCACCACCUACGCCAGUUAAGAGGAAAAAGGACUCCAAGCCCCCUGAUCCUUGAUCAGAACUACAUUAACACCAAAAAUCAAGUUAUCAAGGCAGAGAGAAGGGUGCUAAAGGAGUUGGGAUUUUGUGUUCAUGUCAAGCAUCCCCAUAAGAUCAUUGUUAUGUAUUUACAAGUCUUAGAAUGUGAACGUAAUCAAACCCUGGUUCAAACUGCCUGGGUAGUCCAUGAUGGUAAGUCAUAGAACUCUGCCCUCUGCACUUCAGCCCAUGACCUCAGGAUGGCCUGAUUGGCUGCCCUGCUCUCCAGCCAAUCCAGUGCAAGCUCUCAUCCGAGAUUCACUGAAGUGGUCCAUAUCCAUCUGGCAGCAUCUUCUAGUUCUGUCGGGGUGUCAAAAGGAUUUGUAUAUUUGCUUCUAGAAGUAACUAUUCAACAUGCCUGUGUAUAUAAUGUAUACCUGUAACUAUCAAAAUGAAUAGUUCAUUUUUGAUAGAUUUGUUGUCCAGCCAUUAUGAAUUAAAUGAUUUUUUUUUGUUAGGAGUUUGACUUAGAUUUCUAUUUUUAGUAUGUAUAGCAUGGUGUCUACCGAAGGGGAAAGUACAACUUGCAGCUUAAAAUGGGCACCAUUCCCAUUCUGGAUGAAUUAUAGUUGCUGGACUGUUGAGGCAAUACUAAAAGAAUUAAAUUUUUAAAAGAGAUGUUAAUAUUGCCAUAAGUACUGUAGAACUUGGACUUUUGACAUGAAGAUGUUUGACUUGGAGGGCUAGUUUAUUUUAAGGUGAAACAAGGAAUUUGGUCCAGCUACAACUACUUUCUCAAGACUGUUGAUGAUGUGCAGGACUUAAGUAAUUUUCAUGUUCUGGACUUAAUGACUGCCAUGCUUCUUUAGGACUCAGUAAAUAUCAGUAAUAUUAGAUAAGUCUAAUUGCUUUUAUAAAAUGCAUGACAUUUUUAAUAUGCUCUAUAGAACAUUUAAGCAGUUUUCAUGGAUAAGGAUUUUUAAGAAAUAGUCUAACCUUUUAAAAUAGUUUAACCUUUUAAACAAUUUGUGAAAUUUCUUUAAUACUUUAGGGAUAUUGUGGGGAGGGUUCACUAAUAAAAAAGUCCAGCACUUUAUUAACUGAAGUAGUUUAUUGCUUUUGUUUGUACUUAGUCACAAAAAAGGUAUGUAAACAAGGCUAUUCUGUAUAUUUACUGCUCUUCACUUCCCUACCUAGAUUUUCUGAAGUAGCUUAGUUUUCUUAAUACAAUUUGGUGAGUGCUUACUGAAAAUGCCUUUUUACCCCUGUUACAGUAUUUUGAGUUUUUGAAAGAACUUGGUUGACACUGCUUUUCAUUGUGGAUAAAGGAGAGAUGGUCAAUAAUUAAUGGCUUGAAGUACUGUUGGAGUGGUUUAUCAUUUCUGAAAUUAGAUAUGUGAAAAUUGACUUUCAAAGCAUUGCUUUUCAUAGAAAUAAAAACUACAGAAGUACUAUUUGGGAUGAUAUGGAAUUAUUUUAAAGGACUUUAGUCACAUCUAGGAAAGCUGAAGAAUGGUUCCAGUGUUAAAUUCUUAUCUCUUACUGAUUUUUGAGUUAAGAGUUGUUGUAUGCUAGAAUAUGAGGAUAUGAAUAUAAGUAAGAGAAGAAAAAAGAAUAAAGUAGAUUGAGUCUCCAAUUUUAUGUAAGCCUCGGAAGGACUGGUUUGUUUAUGUACAAAGCUUAUGGUUGAAAUAUUUUUCAGGAAUUAUAUGAAUGACAGUCUUCGAACCAAUGUAUUUGUUCGGUUCCAACCAGAGACUAUAGCAUGUGCUUGCAUCUACCUUGCAGCUAGAGCUCUUCAGAUUCCAUUACCAACUCGUCCCCAUUGGUUUCUUCUUUUUGGUACUACAG